UCGUUGGGUGGCGGAGAUGUCGGGGUAAUGUGAGCUGAGCGAGUUCCAGUACCGCGGCCUUUGCGCCGGGCCCCUAAGAGAGCCCAUUAACUUGGAGAGCCUAAUGAAGAGUGUCGAUUGCCCCCUGCGGAGCCCCCACACUUGUUCUUGGCCCUCUUGGCUCCUCUCCGCCUGGGUGUUGACCGCAGAGUUGCUCAACAGUAGCGUUUUACAUGGACGUGCGCACAGCGCCCUCCCCCCCAAUAUGCACCCCGGGGUUCCCAAACACCCUAUCGCAAAUGAACUGAUUGGUAUCAGCCCCGAGCUAGACGUAGGAUUACCAAACGGAGCACGAGGACCAACGACAUCAUCAGGUGAUGUCUUGCGUGUUCGAGAGUUGGAUUUCAGUAGGCAUAGUUGUACAAAGUCAUCAAUCUCACUCACUCUUCCAGAAUCAUCGAAGUCCAGUGGCAGGACAAAUUUUAGAACAACUGGAUGGCCUGGGAUGCAUUGAAUGACCUUGGCAUCUUGGAUGUCUAACCAAGCUCUAAGCUUCCUUCAGCAGCCUUCUUUGCCUUGAAACAAAUCGUUCUCAUCCACAAGCUUGCGGUGGACAUACUCCUAACUCACCAACCAGUUAUGAGGCUUGUUGGUUACCUUCAAUCUGGUUUAGCCUGUCUGCUGAGAUGGUUUCCAGAAGAGCUGGAAAGUGGCCACUGCACAUUCUACAGCUUCUUGGAGCCACAGGUGGUUCACAGCUUUUCUUUUAAUCCCUGCCUGAGAUCACCCACGGUUAUGGAGCCUGUGGCAGGCUUCCCCUCUCUAAUUUAACACUCCUUAGUCCCACCCUUC
Molecule: long non-coding RNA, 831 nt
Organism: Vombatus ursinus (common wombat)
Lineage: Eukaryota; Metazoa; Chordata; Mammalia; Diprotodontia; Vombatidae
Exons: 3
Source: RefSeq, a predicted model, not a curated record